AAGAAAACUAUAUAAUCAAGGUUCACGUUGAACAUCAAAGAUUACCCAAACAAAAAAAAAAGAAACAAGAAGGGAAAAAAAGAUGGCAUAUUUUCGUGCAUGGAUGGUCCUGACACUGAUAGCAUUCAUGGGUAUUACCAAGAGCACGGCCGGAGAAGAUGAUCCCCUCUUCGACGAGAAAGCAGAAAUAAGCAGAGAAGCCAUGAGACGAGACGGAGUUCCUUGCGGAACGGGAGGUGUCAUGAACUGUCGCCCCGGAGCAGUGGCUAAUCCUUAUGAAAAAGGCUGCAAUCCUGCGAACGGAUGCAGGACUUGACGACAACCAGGACUAACAACAACCCGCACGCAAGUGGGCAUGAUUCCUCGAAUAAAGAAGGCAAUUGAGAUCUCUAAACCGCCUCCGUGACGUUUUGCUUUUGAUGACGAAUUAGUUUCCCCAUUCUUUCAUGUUUCUCUUUCUUUUUUUUUGGUUAAUGUUAUGCAGAAAAUGCAAUAUUUUCCGCAUAUAAUAUUUUCCACAUUGUGGUAGAUUAUUACCCCUAUUAAGUUUUGAUGCAUUAUUUGAUAAUAAAGGACUGUAAAUUCCCGGUGGAA
Long non-coding RNA from Asparagus officinalis (garden asparagus), 594 nucleotides. RefSeq lists it as uncharacterized. The transcript has 2 exons. Lineage: Eukaryota; Viridiplantae; Streptophyta; Magnoliopsida; Asparagales; Asparagaceae. The record is from RefSeq and is a predicted model, not a curated record.